This 145-nucleotide signal recognition particle RNA is filed under the name Gorilla gorilla gorilla (western lowland gorilla). RNAcentral describes it as "Metazoan signal recognition particle RNA". It matches the Rfam family "Metazoan signal recognition particle RNA". From Rfam's summary of the family: The signal recognition particle (SRP) is a universally conserved ribonucleoprotein. The record is from Rfam by way of RNAcentral. Lineage: Eukaryota; Metazoa; Chordata; Mammalia; Primates; Hominidae.
GCCAGGUGUGGUGGCGCACGCCUGUAAUCCCAGCUACUCAGGAGGCUGAGGCAGAAGAAUCACUUGAACCCGGGAGGCGGAGGCAGUGAGCUGAGAUUGUGCCACUGCACUCCAGCCUGGGUGACAGAGUGAGACUCUGUCUCAA